UUGAAAAACUUUGGUCUAGAGAAGAGGUUUCCUCUGGAUGUCUUCAUAAAGAGGCUGUAUAUCCUGCUGGGGAUAUUUUAGCUGGAGAUUCUGCACUGAGCAAAGGUUGGACCUGAUGGGCCAUGAAGCCUAUGAUUCUAUUAUACUAAAGUAAUCUGAGAGAUGGUCAACUACUUUCUGUUUAAAAGCCUCCAAAGAAAGAGAUUCUGUUAAAGUGUAUAGAAAACUGGAUCGAUAGAGCUGCCUGCCUUUUUGGACUCCCUUUAUGGACGCAGCCGUGGGGGACGUGCUGUUCCUCCGAAUUGCCACUCCACAUCAGGCCAACCUCUACCAUGUCUCCAAAGUAUUCAGCUAAGCAACAACAGGCAAAACAAAAACAAGCUCCUUGGAAAUGAUGAGG
Molecule: long non-coding RNA, 400 nt
Organism: Anolis carolinensis (green anole)
Lineage: Eukaryota; Metazoa; Chordata; Lepidosauria; Squamata; Anolidae
Exons: 3
Source: RefSeq, a predicted model, not a curated record